This 503-nucleotide long non-coding RNA is filed under the name Felis catus (domestic cat). RNAcentral describes it as "lncRNA (ENSFCAG00000053699.1)". Lineage: Eukaryota; Metazoa; Chordata; Mammalia; Carnivora; Felidae. The record is from RNAcentral.
UCAUGUUAGCCAGAAACCUAGACUCAAAUUUAACUAAGAAAUGAAUUUACUGGGAAGAAAGUAGAUGACCCAGAAUCAAGAGGAAAUGUUAACAAUCUGGUUUAGAAAGUGAGAGAGAACUAAAGGAAACUAAUUUAGCUGUGCGGCAAUCAAUUAAUGCCAUGCUAAAGAUCCCACAUUCAUGCCACUGCUCUCUCUGCAGGUGCUGCCCUCGCCCAGGUGGAGCCACAGCUGCUGGUGCUCAAGGAACAGUCCUCUACCAACAAGCUUCCGUGAAUCUCUCUGGAGUCAAUGUCCCAGGAUGCACUGUUCUCAUGUUAGUCACAACUUCUCUUCAAAAGGAAAAUAACGCUAACUAAACUGAGAGGUGUGAAAAUGGAGUAGAGGAGUGAGCAGGGGACUAGGAUACUUCACAUCAGGCAGAGUUUUCAACAACUGUGCUAUAGCCUCAACCUCAUUGUUUUCAGGAUUCCACCAUGACAUCUCAGAUUUCGUAUGUUCCU